ACCACUUUGUGAUGCAUGACUGGGGUGAAGUCGUAACAAGGUAACCGUAGGGGAACCUGCGGUUGGAUCACCUCCUUA
RNAcentral lists this ribosomal RNA (78 nucleotides) under Klebsiella pneumoniae. Its description in RNAcentral is "partial 16S ribosomal RNA". It matches the Rfam family "Bacterial small subunit ribosomal RNA", at positions 1456 to 1533 of the family's 1533-position model. Lineage: Bacteria; Pseudomonadati; Pseudomonadota; Gammaproteobacteria; Enterobacterales; Enterobacteriaceae. The record is from RNAcentral.